UACGAAGGGUGCUAGCGUUGCUCGGAAUCACUGGGCGUAAAGGGUGCGUAGGCGGCUUUUUAAGUGAGGGGUGAAAUCCUGGAGCUCAACUCCAGAACUGCCUUUGAUACUGAAAAUCUUGAGGCCGGGAGAGGUGAGUGGAACUGCGAGUGUAGAGGUGAAAUUCGUAGAUAUUCGCAAGAACACCAGUGGCGAAGGCGGCUCACUGGCCCGGUACUGACGCUGAGGCACGAAAGCGUGGGGAGCAAACAGG
Molecule: ribosomal RNA, 253 nt
Filed under: uncultured bacterium
Lineage: Bacteria
Description: partial 16S ribosomal RNA
Rfam family: Bacterial small subunit ribosomal RNA
Source: RNAcentral